Molecule: non-coding RNA, 124 nt
Organism: Hordeum vulgare subsp. vulgare (domesticated barley)
Lineage: Eukaryota; Viridiplantae; Streptophyta; Magnoliopsida; Poales; Poaceae
Source: Rfam
CUAAUACUCCCUCCGUCCGGAAAUACUUGUCCUAAAAAUGAAUAUAAUGAAUGUAUCUAUAACUAAAAUAAGUCUAGAUUCAUCUAUUUCUAGAACAAGUAUUUCCGGACGGAGGGAGUAAUAA